This 253-nucleotide ribosomal RNA is filed under the name uncultured bacterium. RNAcentral describes it as "partial 16S ribosomal RNA". It matches the Rfam family "Bacterial small subunit ribosomal RNA", at positions 524 to 776 of the family's 1533-position model. The record is from RNAcentral.
CACGUAGGAGACGAGCGUUAUCCGGAUUUACUGGGUGUAAAGCGCGUGCAGGCGGUUUGGAAAGUUGGAUGUGAAAGCUCCUGGCUUAACUGGGAGAGGUCGUUCAAAACUACCAGACUAGAGUACAGCAGAGGGGAGUGGAAUUCCGAGUGUAGCGGUAAAAUGCAUAGAUAUUCGGAAGAACACCAGUGGGGUAGGCGGCUCCCUGGGCUGAAACUGACGCUCAGACGCGAAAGCUAGGGUAGCGAACGGG